CAGAUUGAACGCUGGCGGCAGGCCUAACACAUGCAAGUCGAACGGUAGCACAGAGAGCUUGCUCUCGGGUGACGAGUGGCGGACGGGUGAGUAAUGUCUGGGAAACUGCCUGAUGGAGGGGGAUAACUACUGGAAACGGUAGCUAAUACCGCAUAACGUCGCAAGACCAAAGAGGGGGACCUUCGGGCCUCUUGCCAUCAGAUGUGCCCAGAUGGGAUUAGCUAGUAGGUGGGGUAACGGCUCACCUAGGCGACGAUCCCUAGCUGGUCUGAGAGGAUGACCAGCCACACUGGAACUGAGACACGGUCCAGACUCCUACGGGAGGCAGCAGUGGGGAAUAUUGCACAAUGGGCGCAAGCCUGAUGCAGCCAUGCCGCGUGUAUGAAGAAGGCCUUCGGGUUGUAAAGUACUUUCAGCGGGGAGGAAGGCGAUAAGGUUAAUAACCUUGUCGAUUGACGUUACCCGCAGAAGAAGCACCGGCUAACUCCGUGCCAGCAGCCGCGGUAAUACGGAGGGUGCAAGCGUUAAUCGGAAUUACUGGGCGUAAAGCGCACGCAGGCGGUCUGUCAAGUCGGAUGUGAAAUCCCCGGGCUCAACCUGGGAACUGCAUUCGAAACUGGCAGGCUGGAGUCUUGUAGAGGGGGGUAGAAUUCCAGGUGUAGCGGUGAAAUGCGUAGAGAUCUGGAGGAAUACCGGUGGCGAAGGCGGCCCC
RNAcentral lists this ribosomal RNA (712 nucleotides) under Klebsiella sp. RNAcentral describes it as "bacterial SSU rRNA". It matches the Rfam family "Bacterial small subunit ribosomal RNA", at positions 25 to 728 of the family's 1533-position model. Lineage: Bacteria; Pseudomonadati; Pseudomonadota; Gammaproteobacteria; Enterobacterales; Enterobacteriaceae. The record is from RNAcentral.